UACGAAGGGGGGCUAGCGUUGCUCGGAAUCACUGGGCGUAAAGGGUGCGUAGGCGGGUUUUUAAGUCAGGGGUGAAAUCCUGGAGCUCAACUCCAGAACUGCCUUUGAUACUGAAGAUCUUGAGUCCGGGAGAGGUGAGUGGAACUGCGAGUGUAGAGGUGAAAUUCGUAGAUAUUCGCAAGAACACCAGUGGCGAAGGCGGCUCACUGGCCCGGUACUGACGCUGAGGCACGAAAGCGUGGGGAGCAAACAGG
RNAcentral lists this ribosomal RNA (254 nucleotides) under uncultured bacterium. RNAcentral's name for it is "partial 16S ribosomal RNA". It matches the Rfam family "Bacterial small subunit ribosomal RNA", at positions 524 to 776 of the family's 1533-position model. The record is from RNAcentral.